This 1068-nucleotide long non-coding RNA is filed under the name Lonchura striata (white-rumped munia). RNAcentral's name for it is "domestica (Bengalese finch) lncRNA (ENSLSDG00000003175.1)". Lineage: Eukaryota; Metazoa; Chordata; Aves; Passeriformes; Estrildidae. The record is from RNAcentral.
GCAUUCCUCCAUGCACAGCUCAUCCCACACAGCUCCUCCCUGCUCCAUCCAUUGGGAUGGGAAAUAACAUCCCACGUGGGAGGGAAGCUGUUCCCACCAGGAACACCUCAGCUGGCGUUUUCCUCCUCCUGCCCCAGCUAUUUAUUCCUGAUUCCUUCACCAGCCUCAUAACCUUCCUUAUAUGGUUCUUUCCUGGAAUUUUCUGUGCUCAGCAUUCUGAGGGAAGUCGUGGUGUUGGGCAGGUGGUUUGUCAAAAUGCAACGUGCCACAGCCUGAGAUGCUCAUCCUCAACUUUUCCUUCUCAAAUGCCUGACCCUCUGUGCUGGGCCACAUCCCAGGAUGCUGCUCCCACGUCCCAGAGCCAGCAGCUCCCCAUGGCAGCCCAGGGAUGUGGGAUAUCCUCUACUCACAGGCAACCCAGGGACUCCAGCCAGCCCACGCUGCCCCACACGGCCCUGGAAAACAGCAGGAAUCACAAAACAGCAGCAAAGCUGCAGAUCUGGAGGAAAAUCUUGUGCCUGAAGGAUGUGCUCUGCCCCAGCACAUCCCAAGCCAAGCAAGGCAUGUUUCAAUCCAGGGCUGUUUCAAUCCCCACAGCCAAAGAUGCGCCAAGAUCCAGCCCCAAAUUCCAGCACCCCGUUAGUUACCCGGGCUCCCCGCGGUCCUGGGGUUCCCUUGGGGCCAUCAGGUCCUUGGCAUCCCUAAAAUCCACAGAAAGGGAAACACAGAAAUUGCAAAUCUACAGGGGCAGGUCAAGGGGAAGCCAUGCACGGGGAGGGGGACAAGAAACCCCCCCAGGAUGGUGCCCCUGGGUGCUGGGACCCUGGCAGGGUGGGCACAUCCCUGGAAUUGGGCAGCCCAUGGGAAAGCAGCAAAUUCUGGCACUGACCUUGGGUCCCUCGCUGCUGUUUAGCCCUGCAGGGCCAAUCUGACCUUCUUCCCCCUGCCAGGAGAGAGGGGAGGACUGAUCCAGGGAAAACACAGCCCCUGAUCCCGGGGGAGUCACCAGCUGGCUGCUGGUGUAGGGAAAAACACUGCGAGUGUGACCAGAGGUGACAUUCAUAAAUG